UCUGGAUAUGAUAACAAUAUGAUAGCAAUAUAAUAUGAGAAUAGAGGUGUGAGGCCUAGCUUUGGUUUGAUGCUGUAGCUCUUCAGUCCAAGUUCUGUUCUGGUUCUCUUCAGUCCAGGUUCUGUGGUGGUUUUCUUCAGUCCAGGUUCUGUGGUGGUUUUCUUCAGUCCAGGUUCUGUUUUGGUUCUCUUCAGUCCAGGUUCUGUGGUGGUUCUCUUCAGUCCAAGUUCUGUUUUGGUUCUCUUCAGUCCAGGUUCUGUGGUGGUUCUCUUCAGUCCAGGUUCUGUUUUGGUUCUCUUCAGUCCAGGUUCUGUGGUGGUUCUCUUCAGUCCAGGUUCUGUUUUAGUUAUCUUCAGUCCAGGCUCUGUGGUGGUUUUGUUCAGUCCAGGUUCUCUUCAGUUCUCAUAAUUGGAGGGUUGAGCGUCUCCCUGAGGGUCUGUAUCACUGGGGGAGUCCCUCACACU
RNAcentral lists this long non-coding RNA (464 nucleotides) under Salmo salar (Atlantic salmon). Its description in RNAcentral is "lncRNA (ENSSSAG00000096859.1)". Lineage: Eukaryota; Metazoa; Chordata; Actinopteri; Salmoniformes; Salmonidae. The record is from RNAcentral.